Long non-coding RNA from Gigantopelta aegis, 321 nucleotides. RefSeq lists it as uncharacterized. The record is from RefSeq and is a predicted model, not a curated record. The transcript is spliced from 3 exons. Lineage: Eukaryota; Metazoa; Mollusca; Gastropoda; Neomphalida; Peltospiridae.
CCUUUCUUUGCAUCAAGAAGAAUUUUGAGCUAGUCGGUGAAUCCUGCACUAUUCAUGAGUUGCACAAAGCUCUAGCAAGUUACAUUGGAUACUUGAAGAUCCCUAAAACCAUACCAGAUAUAAGUGUGUGCAUGGGUAUGUUAAAUGUCUGUACAUGUUCUAACACAAUAGGGGACUUGACCAGUGAUAUGGAUAUAUGCAGUCCACUGUCAAGCCAUAUUUCAUGUCUUGAGUCUAAAGCAGGACAGUGUGAUGAAUCAGAGAGAACCAAAGCUCUAAAUUAUACCAAGGAACUUUUUUCAAAAUUUCCACAAUGUGGUA